This 360-nucleotide ribosomal RNA is filed under the name uncultured eukaryote. RNAcentral describes it as "partial 18S ribosomal RNA". It matches the Rfam family "Eukaryotic small subunit ribosomal RNA", at positions 592 to 976 of the family's 1831-position model. The record is from RNAcentral.
CAAUAGCAUAUAUUAACGUUGUUGCAGUUGAAAAGCUCGUAGUUGAACUUUUGGUAGGAGCGACCUGGCCUCGGGCGCAUGCCCUUGUUUGCCGUGUGUCGUAUCUGGCCAUCCUUUUCCGUUUCGGCGGGAAUCUUUUACUGUGAGUAAACUGGAGUGCUCAAAACAAGACGUUUGUUUGGUACAUUAAAGCAUGGAAUAAUAAGAUAGGACCUGGUUACUAUUUUGUUGGUUUGCAUAGCUAGGUAAUGAUUAACAGGGACAGUUGGGGGUAUUCGUAUUUAAUUGUCAGAGGUGAAAUUCUUGGAUUUAUGAAAGACGAACGACUGCGAAAGCAUUUACCAAGGAUGUUUUCAUUAA